UCGAAGGAUGCUCUUCGCAAAAGGAGGCGAUCUCGGUGAGAACAAACAAUGGGUGUCUGGGAUCUGCUUCCCAAUCCACAUCCCCAAUCCACAUCCCCAAUCCACAUCGAAGCGUUCAGUGCAAUCUGCUGUGAAACACAUGAUCUGCUGACCAGUCCAGGCAGCGACUCGGAGAAGCUGGACCAAGAGGCUGAAACGCGGAGAUCAAUUGGCAAGAAUCUAAAUGAAAGCAUUUGAAGAGUGGGAACCAAAAAAAAACCAUCCGGGGAUUGGUACGAUUGGUUUGAAAGAGCAAUUGCACAGGGCCGAGGGACGAUUGCUUUUAUAUGGAGGAGUUGCAGCUACAGCACGUGUGGCGAUGCCUGAGGACUGGGGGUCGCGUCAGUCAAAAGGCGGACCGCUAUAUAAAACCUAUGGAUGCAGUCUAUAUAUCUCCGGGUGCUUUAAAGAGAAAUAUAAGAUCACGAGCAACCCUUGUAAGGUUUACGCGAAUGACACAGUAACAUAAAUAUUUACAUAGUCGAUGCCU
Long non-coding RNA from Callorhinchus milii (elephant shark), 529 nucleotides. RefSeq lists it as uncharacterized. The transcript is spliced from 3 exons. The record is from RefSeq and is a predicted model, not a curated record. Lineage: Eukaryota; Metazoa; Chordata; Chondrichthyes; Chimaeriformes; Callorhinchidae.